Molecule: ribosomal RNA, 470 nt
Filed under: uncultured bacterium
Lineage: Bacteria
Description: bacterial SSU rRNA
Rfam family: Bacterial small subunit ribosomal RNA
Source: RNAcentral
CGCUAUCACUCCUACGGGAGGCAGCAGUAGGGAAUCUUCCACAAUGGGCGAAAGCCUGAUGGAGCAACGCCGCGUGGUGAAGAAGGUCUUCGGAUCGUAAAACCCUGUUGUUAGAGAAGAAAGUGCGUGAGAGUAACUGUUCACGUUUCGACGGUAUCUAACCAGAAAGCCACGGCUAACUACGUGCCAGCAGCCGCGGUAAUACGUAGGUGGCAAGCGUUAUCCGGAUUUAUUGGGCGUAAAGGGAACGCAGGCGGUCUUUAAGUCUGAUGUGAAAGCCUUCGGCUUAACCGGAGUAGUGCAUUGGAAACUGGAGACUUGAGUGCAGAAGAGGAGAGUGGAACUCCAUGUGUAGCGGUGAAAUGCGUAGAUAUAUGGAAGAACACCAGUGGCGAAAGCGGCUCUCUGGUCUGUAACUGACGCUGAGGUUCGAAAGCGUGGGUAGCAAACAGGAUUAGAUACCCUGGUAG